Molecule: long non-coding RNA, 274 nt
Filed under: Elaeis guineensis (African oil palm)
Lineage: Eukaryota; Viridiplantae; Streptophyta; Magnoliopsida; Arecales; Arecaceae
Description: long non-coding RNA (EGUI_LNC014772)
Source: RNAcentral
CUGUAGAAGAGAUCACCCUCAACUGGGAUGUGUGGAAAGAUGGGACACCCAAUCUUUGGGCAUUGGAAAGAGAGGAGGAAGAGAAGGGGCGUGAAGAUGAAGAGGAGAUGGAGAUCUAAAUUCUUAAUUCAAUUUUUUUGAAAUCCUAGGAGACCAUCUCUUAAAGAGACCUUUUCUUGAUUCCAAAUCAAUUUUCAAUCAAUCUAAAAAGAUUAGUCCUUAUCUCAUAAGGUUUCUUACUUUUUAAUCUAAUUUUUUUUUUAAAUCAGACCCA